Molecule: long non-coding RNA, 285 nt
Organism: Sphaerodactylus townsendi
Lineage: Eukaryota; Metazoa; Chordata; Lepidosauria; Squamata; Sphaerodactylidae
Exons: 3
Source: RefSeq, a predicted model, not a curated record
AGAAUUGGCUGACAAAGUGAACGUCUUGAAGAGAUACCUCAAGACAGUUGAAUGAAGACUAAAAAACUGAACUUGAAACUAGAGUCAUACAUCACUGAAGUCUGCUGAGAUGGAAGAGCCAAUUCAAUAAUUUGACACCAAUAUACACUAAAAUCCUGGACAUUGAAAAAGAGAAAAAUGAAUAAGAAAUGGAAUGAAUUAAGGGCUAUGUUCCCACCAGCUGUUCUGGUGACAUUCAAGUCCUUGGAUGUAAACAUCAGUCAAGGAAAGAAACAGAUAAGGGGA